RNAcentral lists this long non-coding RNA (4879 nucleotides) under Canis lupus familiaris (dog). RNAcentral describes it as "lncRNA (ENSCAFG00000055449.1, ENSCAFG00845010873.1)". The record is from RNAcentral. Lineage: Eukaryota; Metazoa; Chordata; Mammalia; Carnivora; Canidae.
AAAAAAAAAUCCUUGUAAAGGUGGAUCAGCCUGUACCAUGCCGACUAAAGAGAUUUUCAUGAACUUGCUAAGCUUUGAGAUUUGUUAGCAGUGAUAGAUUUUCCUUUCAUUUGCAACAAUGAAAGAUUGUCAAAAUUUACAAUAUUGUAAAUAGCUGAAUUACAUGAUUCUGGAGUUGGAAAUGUGGUUCAGAUUUAUUUGGUUCUAUAACUGACUCUGGCACUGGCUCACUGUGGCUUUUCUACAGACUGUGGAUGUUUUGGUGUUUCUGUUUUCCCAUUUGGAAGUGGCACCCAGUAUUACCAAUUAUAAGUACUUGGUAAUUUUUCUUUUACAGCAGAAAUUAUGUAAGUGUGAAUCAUACUGAGAUUGACCAAUUCUUUCCCAUUGCCAUUUGAUAUACAGAGAAAGACUUCCAGAACUAUAGCAUGAAAAUUAAAAGUCCAAAUCAAUAGCCCUGAUGUUCAGUUUGACAUGAGAGUGAAGCUGCAGGACUACUAUCUGUACCAGAGUAGGUUAUGGUUAUUUUCACCUGUGUAUUACAGGUCCAUAUUUUCAUUUACUCUCACUUCAGAAUCUUUAGAAAUUUAAUAAUUUUAUUUUUUUCUACACUCCCCCUAAACAGUCACGUCCUAGUAGUAUAUAGAUAGAUACUUUAAAAAAAAUUAAUAUCUUCAUGUCUUUUCUUAAAUUAACUCCCCAGAGACACCUGGGUGGUUCAGUCAGUUAAGUGUCUGCCUUUGGCUCAGGUCAGGAUCUUAGGGUCCUGGGAUCGAGUAUCAUGUGCAUCAAGCUCUCUAUUACAUGGGGAAUCAGCUUCUCUCUCUGUGUGUGCUCUCUCUUUCUCUCUCAAAUAAAUAAAUAAAAUCUAAAAAAAGGAUUAACUCCCCAAAGAGGAAACUGUCUCUUUAAAUCAGUGGUUAGAAAAAUAAAAUUUUUGUUGGGGACUUUUCCUAUCUUGUUUUAUCCUGUGAUGCCACUUACUUGGAAGCUGGAGCACUAGCUACAUUCUCUGGCUGUGGGAUGGUGCUCCGUCAUGCGAAGUACCUUAGAAACUUCCGGUAAAGAAACGAAACUAGAGAUUGUUACCAUUGUUACCAUAAUGGAAAUCUGAGUUCAGUUGUUGUUAAAAUCAUUAAAUGAAAGUGAGGGUAAAUUAAUAUCGACUUCUAUCUUCACCAGACAUUUGAAUUCAGUUACUAACUGAUACUUAAAAUUUUGUUCCUAAAUCUGGUAUUUAUUGUAGCAUAAUAUGAUAACUUGAAGCUCCUGUUAUUUCCCCUCCUCCUAAAAAUGUUGAAAUUAUAAGAGGGUGAAAGCUACAGGAGAGAGGGAAAAGGUAGAAUCAGAAUUCUGCGUGGGAUUUUAAUCUGUGUAGUGAUACAACCUAGUUGUCAAGAAGACGGGUCUUUAGAUGGUGAUUCCAGAAUGAUUUGGUACAGUGACAGGAAGGAAUUAUUUUUCUGGGUAUUUGCCUCUCACGAUACCUGGUAUACAGAUGACCCUAGGAUAAUUAACGGUAAUUAUAAAUCUUUUUAGAACCUACCCUGUUUGCACAUCUCCGUUGUGCAGCAGCUUUUUAAUAUAUGUAAUGAUGAGGAUGGAAGAGUUGCAAACUGGAGCAGUUCUUUUGUUUCCUCUCCUCCUUUUACUUGAAAAGCUUUUGAGAGAUGACACCGUUUUCAUAGCAACAUGACGUGAUUUUGUGUUUCUGCCAAGAAACUCACAAACUAAAAUAUGGAACAAAACCAUUGCUUCACCCCAACCUUGGUUUUGGAUUGUAUAAGCAAAAGCCUUUCAAACAUCAAAGCUUUCUCAGUGUUUUCGGUGGCGUAUUUCAGUUUUUGUCCACCUCAAAAGUUGAAUUGGCAUUUUCUGUUCUAUUUCUGGUUGCAGUAAAGCAAUAGUUCCAUCGCAUUAGUCAGCCUUCUAUCAGUACAAACCUUCGUGAUUCUUCUCUCCUGUGCUCUUACCAUUGUUUUCCAGCAACCAGUUUUCCUACAUCCAUUCUCUCUUACCUCUAUAUGACCACCUUGUAUAUGGUCAACGGAGUGAUCUUUCUAAAAUGCACAUUUGCUUUGUCAUUCCUUUGCGAAAAGUUCUUACGUAGGUUCUCCUUUUUGUAGAGCAACCUAACUUCUUGGUGUGACAGAUAAAGGGCUCUGUGGCUUUGCCUCGGCCUACCCUUUGUAGCAUCCUCAGCUGGCUGUUCCCUCUAGAGACCUUUUGUAAUUCAGGAAUUUGGAGCUACUUGCAGUUCACUGCCUUGGCAUAACCACUUGCUAGAGAUCAAUGCUUUUCAAGACUCAGUUCAGAUUUUAACUUUCUGUGAAGCUCUACCUGGCUUUCCCAGCCAGAGUUAAGUAUUUCAUCCAUGCUCCAAAGCAUCUUUAAACUUUCUCUGUUAAAAUAACAUCACAUUUCAUUAUAGCUCCCCCUCCCCACCCCUGGAAUUUCUCUGUCUUUGUAGUCUGUGUGGAGCUAGCACAAAUUAGGGGUUGAAUAAUUGUUUUUGAAGGAGCGAAGGUUAUAUAGAACCCAAACUUCUCUCUAUUCUUAUACUUUGACAAAUGAAAGCUUAGACUUCCCUGAGUCACGUGAGGGGUGCCAGUACUCAUGAGCAGGUGAGCACACAUGCAUGCUGGGCAAGCCAACAGAAGAUAAACAUGAAGGGAGAGGGAUUAUUUUGAAAAAGGGUAAUCAUUUGUUAGCUUUAAAUCAGAAAGAUUUACCAAAUCUGAAUUCUUGUUUCUAAAAACGAGGCUUACAGAAUUUUCCCAUAACUGUCAAUUUCUUGCUUGUAAUUCCUAAAUAUGCCCUAAAGAUGACCUUUCUCCUUUGCAGACACAGUCAGUGUACAAUCUAUAUGAACACAUAUAUUGCUCAUCUAUGCAAAAUUAUAAGAUUUAAGAAAGAAUCAAAACCAAUAGUGAAGGGGAAAUUUUCUCAAAAGGAUUAGUCUGCCAGAGAUAUAGGCUGAAUUUGUGUGAUUUCAGGUCAUUUAUAGCUGUCUGUUGCUAUUAUCACCCCUUCUAGAACACAGAGACUAACAUCUGUUACCUAAUGGCUUGUUUUUCUUUUAUGAUCCUAUAAAACCUUUCUACCAUGUUCCCAAAUCAUGAUAAAGGUCAACACAAAAAGUUCCUUAUAGUUAACAAUUUCUAAAAUUAAAUAGUAAUUAAAAAUUAAAAAUGCAUGUCUUUCAAUUAAAUGCUUUCUUCCUUUACUCACUCGAGAGACAUUUUUUGUACCUGCUGUAUACUUGGCCCUCGAUUAGACGCUGGGAAUACAAUAAAAUAGUUUGUCUUCACAAUUAUUUUCUCCAGCCUAAGAAUAUGGGAGGACAGGUUUUUCACUGAAUAUUUCUCAGGCGAUUUCAGAGUAGUCUUGUUCCACCCCCCCCCAAAAAAUAACCAAAUUCUAUGUCAUAAAGAAUUAAUCCCAUUUUUAUGUCCAGUUUUUGUACAGCCACAAAUAACGUUUGGCCAUCACUUGUCAAAUACGUUUUCCAUCAGUCCUAUAGAGCCCCAGUUCUACAACUGUAGAUGCCAUGUGAUCCAAGAGUCUAAUAGAUUUGUCAAACAAGGGUUAAAUUUCAAGUCCUUUUGAGGAAGGCGUAUAUCCCUAUUCAUGGCACAUACACCAAAAUAUAUGAGGUAUGCGUUGUAAACCCACAGCAGAGGGGAAAAAUUAUGAAGUCGUGCUUUCUGGUAUACUUCAAAGACUCCAUUUGAAGUAAUAGGUCAAUAUUUCCACCUCAGUUAUUUUUAAUGGGGAGUAGGGAGUAAUAAUAUUUAACAGGUAGCAUUAUAUCUGAGCAUAUAACAAAUAUACUGCUAGUAUUUGUAUGCCACAAUGCACUGGUGUAGAGGAAAGAAAACAAAACAUUUGAGUUAUAAACAAUUAAAUUCUCUGAAUAUUUAUUGAUGGUUAGGCAAUAGGGUUCCUUUAUAGGAAGGGAAAAAAGUCUUUACUGUAAGUAAGUAUGGAAAAAACCUUACUUGUAUGUAUAUUUACAUUUUGGUAGGCAUAUUUCGGAGUCAUUCUUUCCCAGCAGUAUAAAGUCAUCAACCAUUUCUUUGUUCUCUAGCAGAAGGAAAUUCUUAGUUUGAUGCAACUUCACUCUCUGUUCCGUAAAAGGGCCACAAAAGAAGGAGGCUCAGAAGACUCGGCCCUUAUUAUUUUACCUUUCAGUGAAGAUAAUCAGUAAUUAUUUGUCUCCUGUUUACCAUCGUGUUGAAAACCUAACAACAUAGUCCCUGUCGUCCCUUACAUUGCAAAAGAUAGUUUUAAUCUAGCCUUUGCCAUAUUAUUUAUAAUUGAGGAUUUACUACAUUUUGGUAGUCUGUUUUGAAAUUUUUACUUGUAUCUGAAAGAUGCAGAUCAUGUCUAUUUAUUACACAAUGGGCUCUGUUUGCUGCAGAAAAGAGUGGAACUUUUAACUGCUUAGCACACUUGCCAGUGAAAUACACCCGACAGAGCAGAGGUUAUAACUUUGGCUCUAGUUCGAACCUUUUAAUAAUGGUAAGAAAAUGUGUUUUGUUUGUUUACAUGCUGUUUACAAUGGCAUAAUUUUUUAAAUAUAUACGAUUGAGAUAUUUAUUGCAUACUAUUUUAAAGAUGUUUUAUGUGUUUUCACCUUUGGAAUAUAUUGUUACAGUUACUUAUACAGAUAAUUUGGGUGGCUUUGUUAAUGUAGCUAGUAAUUUUUAUGACUACUAAGUGACCAGUUUUCCGUGCCUUUUAUUGUGGGAUGCAUGAUUAUGUAUUUAUUGUACGGAAGUCACUGAUGUGUGUAUUUUUGUACUUUGCUGAGAGUAACGGUUGAUCUCGAUGUACACGAUGAUGAGAGAUGCCUUUCCCAAAGGCCACUGCCUUG